RNAcentral lists this long non-coding RNA (785 nucleotides) under Trifolium pratense (red clover). Its description in RNAcentral is "long non-coding RNA (TPRA_LNC013930)". The record is from RNAcentral. Lineage: Eukaryota; Viridiplantae; Streptophyta; Magnoliopsida; Fabales; Fabaceae.
UACUAAAAAUUUAUUUUAAGUGUGCAGAACUUAGAUGCAGACAAGCUCUGAAGACAACUCAAAAGUUAGUUCUCAGAGUUUCUCAAGACUCAGAAGAUAAGAAUCUUCAGAAGUUAUAUGCGUCAGAGGAUGAAGACAUCAGAACUUGUUAAAGUCUGAAGUGAAUCAAACUCUGAUGUAUAUCUUGGGUUAUGUGAAGAUUCGUAUUUGUAGGUCAACUCUUUUACCAAUGAAGAAAAGGACCUCUCAACCUUGUUCAGAACAGCUACUUACAAUUUGUCUGUCCAUAAGGGAGAACGUGACCUGCCUGUGUUCUUAGCUUAAUAAGGAAAGUCUUCUCUACACAUGGUCAAAGUUACUGAAACUCUUACUUAGUUUUAGUAAUAGACAAACUGCAUCAAGACAGACACUUGAAGACAAAAGGUUAUCUCCAUCAACGGUUAUUUUGCAAUGACUCUUUCUCUGUAUUAUAUAUACUUGAAGAGAUGAAUUGCAACACAUAACAAACGCACGAAUAAUUCCUCAUUCGCUAAUACAAGCUCUCAACCUCUGAACCCGUGAAUUUCACUCUUAGUCCAAAUACUCUGUAGUUUUUGUAUACUCACUGUAUUUGAUCUUAAAGGUUCUCUUAAGAGCAUUUGUAUUACAAUCAACGAACUUUAUUACUUUGUUAGAUUGAGAAGUCUCUUGCUGUGUGCUUGAGCAUUGUGGUGAAGUCUCUUGCUAAGUGCUUGAGCAAUUGUAAUCUUGUGUGAUUAUAGUGAAAUCCCUUGGAAGUGCAAGGG